UGGAUACAAAUAUUUGGCCUCUCAUGUGAUAUUUACAUAAUAUAUACAUUAGUUGCAGAAAGUAAUAGUAUAUCAAUAAAGCAUAAUUCAAAUGAGCUACACCUUUACAAUCCACACUUGAAAAAGUAUUUUCAUUAAUGCAUCAAAAAAUAUAAUCCAACAAUUUCCUUAUUCUGAAUUGUGCUAUACUGACGUAAAUACAAUGAAAUUUAGGUGCAUUGUUAUUGUACUUUUAAGAUGAAUUGUAGUAUGUUCAUUCAUUUACAGAUAACUGCAGUAAUAAAUAUCAAUUUAAUAUUGUUCAUAUUUAAUUCAAUGAAUUAUUUAAUUAUUAAUAUAAAAAUAUAUAUAUUGGGGAAUAUUGUGUUACCCUUUGAGCUGCCUUAUAAAUCAAUAAAUGAAAAACUACAACAGCAACAUCUCUGAGCAGCCCUCAGCGCUCAAAAGUAUCGUUCUUAAUUGAUGGCCCCGCCCCCUGACCUCCAGCUGCACUCAGCACGUGAUUGUGUUCAAGAUGAGUGAGCGGAGCAGUGUCCUGGAGCGCUUCAAGAGAAGACUGGAGCGACUGAGAGCUCAUCAUAAUCGAUGCGCAGCCUUUACAGUGCAGUCAAAAGAUAUGGAAGAUGAGGAGCCAGAGAGUGAUUCCUUUGAAUCUGAAGUGUCCAGCUGUUCUGGAUUAGAUCCAGAUUCCAAGAUUGCAUCAUCAUGCAGUGAAGAUUCGAGUCCAGUCAAAGAUGCAUCAUAUAAGAGUCUGUCCAGUGAAGAGGAACUUGAAGGACCAGACAGAAGUCUGAGUGAGGAAGAUCAGAUAAGAGGUAAAUGCACCAUUAAAGAACAAAACAAACCCAUAACUUAUGUGAAAAGACACAAGAAAAUCAAAGCAAAUAAAGACAAAUCAGCUGUGACUCUAAAAGCGUGUACUAAAAGGGAAAACUGUAAACGAGCAUGGGACAAAAAACAUUAUUGCCUUUAAUGUAGCCAGGCACAAUCAAAGAUUUCAAGGCAUUUGGAGAGAAAGCAUAUAGAAGUCAAAGAUGUGGCAUAUGCCUUCAGCGUUCCAUUAAGAUCGAAAGAAAGAAAGACACUUCUAGAACAGCUGCGCAAUAAAGGAGACUUUAAACAUAACACAGAAGUUCUGGAGAAAGGCAGAGGACAAAUAGUUACAUGGAAGCAGCCCUCUGAAAAAGCUUCUGUAAAGGAUUACUUGC
Molecule: long non-coding RNA, 1208 nt
Filed under: Carassius auratus (goldfish)
Lineage: Eukaryota; Metazoa; Chordata; Actinopteri; Cypriniformes; Cyprinidae
Description: lncRNA (ENSCARG00000038466.1)
Source: RNAcentral